AGCCAUGCAAGUCUAAGUACAUGCCGCACUAAGGUGAAACCGCAAAAGGCUCAUUAAAUCAGUUAUGGUUCCUUGGAUCUUAAACAGUUACUUGGAUAACUGUGGUAAUUCUAGAGCUAAUACAUGCAAUCAAGUCCCGGCCAGAGAUGGGAGGGACGCUUUUAUUAGAUCAAAACCGAUCGGCGUCCGGCUCCGGCCGGCGCCGUCUCUUUUGGUGACUCUGGAUAACCUUAAGCCGAUCGCACGGUCACAGUACCGGCGACGCAUCUUUCAAAUGUCUGACUUAUCAACUGUCGAUGGUAGGCUCUGCGCCUACCAUGGUUAUAACGGGUAACGGGGAAUCAGGGUUCGAUUCCGGAGAGGGAGCCUGAGAAACGGCUACCACAUCCAAGGAAGGCAGCAGGCGCGCAAAUUACCCACUCCCGGCACGGGGAGGUAGUGACGAAAAAUAACGAUACGGGACUCAUCCGAGGCCCCGUAAUCGGAAUGAGUACACUUUAAAUACUUUAACGAGUACCAAUUGGAGGGCAAGUCUGGUGCCAGCAGCCGCGGUAAUUCCAGCUCCAAUAGCGUAUAUUAAAGUUGUUGCGGUUAAAAAGCUCGUAGUUGGAUCUGUGUGCCACGCUGUCGGUUCACCGCCUGCGGUGUUAACUGGCAUGUCUGUGGGACGUCCUGCCGGUGGCGGUACGGGCUGCCGGCGCUGCGUAGGGGUUCGCCCCCGAAGCACGCCGGCGUGUCCCGGUCCGCCGAUCCAAUCCCGCCGCGGUGCUCUUCACUGAGUGUCGAGGAGGGCCGGCACGUUUACUUUGAACAAAUUAGAGUGCUCAAAUCAGGUCG
This 837-nucleotide ribosomal RNA is filed under the name Cryptotympana facialis. RNAcentral's name for it is "SSU rRNA". It matches the Rfam family "Eukaryotic small subunit ribosomal RNA", at positions 47 to 787 of the family's 1831-position model. The record is from RNAcentral. Lineage: Eukaryota; Metazoa; Arthropoda; Insecta; Hemiptera; Cicadidae.